AUGCCUUCCUGGCAGAACAACAACGAGACAUCCGACGCCGAUGAUGACGAGUACAUGAACGAGUACAACAGCAGCAACAUGCAGAUGGAGUAUUUUCAAACUCCUGACACGGUGAUAGAUCCAAGUUUCUGUGGGCUUGUGGUUGAAUCUGAUCGUAAGUGCAUCCUGCACAGGCAGAGACCAGGCAGGUUUGUGGCAUUUGAAGGGACUGACACUGGAAGGAGAUUCAUUGGAUGUGCUACUACGGAUGGUGUGAACUGUGGUAUUCUGGAGUGGGUAGAUGCCCCUUGGCCAGUCAUUCUGCAAAGGUGUUUAACCAAGCUGUGGGAUAUGUAUCAUGAGGAGAACCUUGGUAGAGUCCAAGACAAAGAUGCUCAUGAGAUAGGGGUUGAGAAACUGAAGAAGGAGCUGGAUUCUCUUGGCAAUCAGUACAGUCAGCUUGUGGAUGAUGUAUCCAAGUUGUUUGAUUACCAGGAUGGGCAGAGAUCCCAUGACAUGGAUCUUACAAGUCAGGCAAUUAAUGAACUUAAGGAGAAGAAGCAUCGGCUUGAGGAGCAGGCAAAGAUUGAGGUUCAAAUGGAGAAGCUUAAGCUGAAGAAAGAACAGAGGUGCAUCCUGCAGAGUCAAGCUGAUAUCAUUAAAAACACCAGGAAGGCCAUGAAGGAGAUACAAGUGGAGAGGGACCUCCUUAAAGAAGAGAAGAAGAAGCUGGAGCAUGUCAUUUCUGAGCUACUGAAGGCUGGUCAUGGGUGCAAGGAAAAGCUGGACAAGAUCAAAGAAGUUGUCAUGGAGGAGUGA
RNAcentral lists this ribosomal RNA (798 nucleotides) under Triticum aestivum (bread wheat). Its description in RNAcentral is "partial small subunit ribosomal RNA". The record is from RNAcentral. Lineage: Eukaryota; Viridiplantae; Streptophyta; Magnoliopsida; Poales; Poaceae.